CGCCGCCCUGCGACGUACCCUUUCCACGGCCGGCGCCAGUUCUCCUUAAGGAGGGAACCAUCCAAGGUCCAAAAGGCUCCCGCAAUAGAAAAUCUGCCAAAUCGGGGCUUUCCACCACCCUCUCCCUUGCCUUAUCCUUGCCUAUGGAUGACCUUUGUGCCACUAGCGAUGCUCCCUGAGAAUUGAUAUUUGGGGAAGCCAGCUGCCAUGUCAGAAGUACACUCAAGCCAUCUGUGGAGGCCCAUAUGAUGAGAAACUGAGGCCUCCAGCCAACAGCCCCAGGGGAGUUGGAGCCUUCUGCCAACAAAAUCCUGAGCGAGCCAGGAAGGAGAUUCUACUGUCUGGUCAAGCCUUGAAAAGAGACUCCGGCUCUGGCUGACACCUUGCCUACAACCUUGUAAGAGACCCUGAGCCUCUCACUGUGGUCAUCAGAGAGCCCCUAAUUCCCAAACCAAUUACCAUCUUUCAGUCUUUUCCCUGACUUGGCUUCUUGGUUCUGGGACAACGUUGAAUAAAUAGGUAUAUAACUGUAUGUACAUGCACAGAAUGGAAUUUUGUAAGAAAGGUUAACUUUUGUCUUAAGAAGUUCUGCUGAGAAAUGGAAAUAGAUUUUCAAAGCCACAACCACUAGGAAACAUUUCUUUCCCCAAAACACUGCAAUAUGAAGAAUAGAGCAUACUAGAGGGUACAUUAAAUAAUUUUUAUUCUCUCACUUGUGAUAAAUACAAGACACUUCCAAGAAAAUAAAACACAUAUAUUCUAAUUUUUACAUAGAAUUUUUUUUCUUGCUAUGGAGUAUAUAAAAAUAUGUAUAAAUUUAUCCAUCAAAUAUCAAGGAAAAUUUUUGAGUUUGCAUUAGGGCUUAUCAAACAAUUUUUAUUUUCCCCCUGUUCAGAAAAAGACUAAGUAGAAAACGAGUCUGAUUUGGGAUUUUAAAAUUAGCAUUUGGGUUGAACAAAGCUCCAGAGAAACCUUCACAAAAUUUCCAAUUAAAACACUAUACAUAUAAAAUGCUCUCCCAAAAAAUGAUGUAAGGCAGGUUAACAGGAUUUUGGAAACAAUGUACAAUGUUAUAAUUGAUAGGCCCUUAAUUAUUGAUGGCAUAUGCCUGCCGGGAUUUUGUAUAAUCCUCACAGAUGGGAUUAAAUUCAUUUGUAAAAUGAACCUUUUCUUGUAAAAGAAAAUAAAAACUGUCAUUUUCUGCAGCUCUCACCUCAUAAGAAAAGUGUUGAGCUACAGAAAAAAGGCUAAUACUUUAAAAAAAAUAAUAGCUCCUAUAAAUUCUAU
Rhinolophus ferrumequinum (greater horseshoe bat) is the source of this 1287-nucleotide long non-coding RNA. RefSeq lists it as uncharacterized. The transcript has 3 exons. Lineage: Eukaryota; Metazoa; Chordata; Mammalia; Chiroptera; Rhinolophidae. The record is from RefSeq and is a predicted model, not a curated record.